GACGAACGCUGGCGGCGUGCUUAACACAUGCAAGUGCACGGAAAGGCCCUGCUUUUGUGGGGUGCUCGAGUGGCGAACGGGUGAGUAACACGUGAGUAACCUGCCCUUGACUUUGGGAUAACUUCAGGAAACUGGGGCUAAUACCGGAUAGGAGCUCCUGCUGCAUGGUGGGGGUUGGAAAGUUUCGGCGGUUGGGAUGGACUCGCGGCUUAUCAGCUUGUUGGUGGGGUAGUGGCUUACCAAGGCUUUGACGGGUAGCCGGCCUGAGAGGGUGACCGGCCACAUUGGGACUGAGAUACGGCCCAGACUCCUACGGGAGGCAGCAGUGGGGAAUAUUGCACAAUGGGCGGAAGCCUGAUGCAGCAACGCCGCGUGCGGGAUGACGGCCUUCGGGUUGUAAACCGCUUUCGCCUGUGACGAAGCGUGAGUGACGGUAAUGGGUAAAGAAGCACCGGCUAACUACGUG
This 466-nucleotide ribosomal RNA is filed under the name uncultured bacterium. RNAcentral describes it as "partial 16S ribosomal RNA". It matches the Rfam family "Bacterial small subunit ribosomal RNA", at positions 28 to 507 of the family's 1533-position model. The record is from RNAcentral.